CCUACGGGAGGCAGCAGUGAGGAAUAUUGGUCAAUGGGCGCGAGCCUGAACCAGCCAAGUAGCGUGAAGGAUGACUGCCCUACGGGUUGUAAACUUCUUUUAUAAAGGAAUAAGGUGAGGCACGUGUGCCUUUUUGUAUGUACUUUAUGAAUAAGGAUCGGCUAACUCCGUGCCAGCAGCCGCGGUAAUACGGAGGAUCCGAGCGUUAUACGGAUUUAUUGUGUUUAAGGGGAGCGUAGAUGGGUGGUUAAGUCAGUUGUGAAAGUUUGGGGCUCAACAGUAAAAUUGCAAUUGAUACUGGCAGUCUUGAGUACAGUAGAGGUAGGCGGAAUUCGUGGUGUAGCGGCGAAAUGCUUAGAUA
This 361-nucleotide ribosomal RNA is filed under the name uncultured bacterium. RNAcentral describes it as "partial 16S ribosomal RNA". It matches the Rfam family "Bacterial small subunit ribosomal RNA", at positions 338 to 696 of the family's 1533-position model. The record is from RNAcentral.